RNAcentral lists this ribosomal RNA (493 nucleotides) under uncultured bacterium. Its description in RNAcentral is "partial 16S ribosomal RNA". It matches the Rfam family "Bacterial small subunit ribosomal RNA", at positions 28 to 507 of the family's 1533-position model. The record is from RNAcentral.
GACGAACGCUGGCGGCGUGCCUAACACAUGCAAGUUGAGCGACGAACCAGGGCUUGCCCUGGGGCAAAGCAGCGAACGGGUGAGUAACACGUGGGUAACCUACCCCGAUAACCGGGACAACCCGAGUAAACUCGGGCUAAUACCGGAUGUGCUCACUGGACUUCGGUUCUGUGCGUAAAGGAAGCUUCGGCCUCCGUAUCGGGAGGGGACCGCGGCCCAUUAGUUGGUUGGUGAGGUAACGCAUCACCAAGCCCGCGAUGGGUAGCUGGUCUGAGAGGACGAUCACCCCCACUGGGACUGCGACACGGCCCAGACUCCUACGGCAGGCCGCAGUGGGGAAUCUUCCGCAAUGCGCGAAAGCGUGACGCAGCAACGCCGCGUGUGGGAAGAAGGCCUUCGGGUUGUAAACCCCUUUCAGGAGGGAAGAAGGUUCGGCGGUGAAUAGCCGUCCGGACUGACGGUACCUCCACAAGAAGCCCCGGCUAACUACGUG